This 253-nucleotide ribosomal RNA is filed under the name uncultured bacterium. Its description in RNAcentral is "partial 16S ribosomal RNA". It matches the Rfam family "Bacterial small subunit ribosomal RNA", at positions 524 to 776 of the family's 1533-position model. The record is from RNAcentral.
UACGUAGGGUGCAAGCGUUAUUCGGAAUUACUGGGCGUAAAGCGUGCGCAGGCGGUUUGCUAAGACCGAUGUGAAAUCCCCGGGCUUAACCUGGGAACUGCAUUGGUGACUGGCGGGCUAGAGUAUGGCAGAGGGGGGUAGAAUUCCAUGUGUAGCAGUGAAAUGCGUAGAGAUGUGGAGGAAUACCGAUGGCGAAGGCAGCCCCCUGGGCCAAUACUGACGCUCAGGCACGAAAGCGUGGGGAGCAAACAGG